Molecule: long non-coding RNA, 4713 nt
Organism: Athalia rosae (coleseed sawfly)
Lineage: Eukaryota; Metazoa; Arthropoda; Insecta; Hymenoptera; Athaliidae
Exons: 5
Source: RefSeq, a predicted model, not a curated record
AACGGCGGCAUGUGGUUUGACGCGUAACGUGUACAUAAAUGUAUAUCCUCUGUUUAGGUACAUACGUAUACAUACAGACGUUCGAAUUUCUAGAGGGGCUGCGGUAGUGAAGGAAAAACGAGAAGGAAAUUUUUUAUUUCGUGAAAAUAAAAAAAAAAAAAUGGAAUAAAAUAGAAUAAACGAAAAAACCGCGACAGUGCAGGGUAUAAUAUACAUAUAUAUAUACAAUAUACAUAUAUACAGCUGCGAAGACGAAAGCACGGGAGAAUCGCGAAAAAUUCCUCAACGUAUUAAAGCGUCGACGCAGCAGUGAGUAGAUAUGUAUAUGCGUAGGUACAUAUGUACGGUGGUCCUCCUCGAUCUUUUCUUCUCUCUCUCAGCCAUAUACCCGCGGGUGUGGGAGUUCUUCCUUGAGGCUGAUACCUACUUUGGAUUGCGAUCACGUAACCCGUGGUGUACGAGAAUGUGUAUAUAUAUAUAUAUAACUAUAUGCAUAUACACGUAGAGAUAUAUAUAUAUAUAUAUGUACACACGAUGCCAAAGACUUUUGCGAGGGCCGCCAAUCCGAUCGCGAGUUCUUUAUACUAUAUGUACCUAUGUAUAUGUACAGGAUGACGUGACGGCGACGUCGCUUUGCGACCUUAGAGAUAGGAAUAAUAUAGAAGCUUUGUUAGCUAGGAAAAUUUUCGACGAACGGUAUUUUUUUUUCGUUCUCAAAAUUUUUUCCAAAUACAUACGAGAUGAACAUUUUUUUCGAGUAGGUCCUCAUUCGUCGUAUUCGUCGACGAGCAAUUACAUGCAAGGUGUGAAUUUUUUGCUUUAUUCUCGCACACACAUAUCUCGUCGAUGACUGAAAUUAUUUUUUUUUUCGUUUCGUUUCGCUUCAUAUUUUUUUCCUGCAGCAAUUAGCACGAGUCGCUCAUUCGGUUUAAAAAGAUCGAUGACGGUACACGCGUGUGAUCCUUCUUUCUUCCGACCGCUGCAGCUCGAUCCGUGCGGAGGAUAUACAUAAUCCCACACCGCGAGAUGAUUCGCGAAUAAUCAGGUAAUUUUCCGCUUUGACUCGGACAUCGGCAGCGGCUUCGAAAAAAAAACAAACUUAUAUAUACCGCGGCGAGACUAAAGAAAUUUCCAACUGUUUUUUUUUCCCCUCGAAAUUCGCAAAGUUGAUAAAAUUUCGUGACGCGGCGUACACCGUUUUUUUUUUUUUUUUUGCACAGCGAUAUCCAUGCAACGUGGCAGAAGCCACGGUAUUCCGAAGUUCUAUACGUACAACAAUGCGUGAAAUUGUCCGUGUAUAAAUAAUCCGGUUUCGGUAGUAAAAAUUUCUGCGUCGCCGAGAACGAGGGCGCGCGUAACGCGAACGAAGAGCGUCGAGAGACGCGUAGGUACCCAGGGCGUCGGGAGGGCACCCGAGGGAGGUUACUAUAAUGAAAGAGAGGGGGCGGAAGGGGAUCGGGGGGCGGGGGGGAGGGCGUCGAGGACCUUUUGAUCGGCGAAAAGGAGCAGCAGCGCCUCGCCUAGAUUCGACCUCGGUAGAUCCCCUCCCCUCCCCCCGCCCCGCCGCCAACCCCCUCGGCCAACUUUCGCCCUCGAUCGGCCCAAAUAUUCAAGAUGGCGUCGCGUUACCGCGAUACGCGGGGGUGCGUAGGCCACGCCCUGGCCGGGUGCCCGCGCUCGAACCUUCGGUUAUUUGUGCCCAGGUCCCGCGAACGUGGGGGUGAAGCUUUCGGCUCGUCCCAUACCGUUUCGUUUCGUUCCGUUCCGUUCCGUCCCGUUCCGUUUCGAAGGAUUCGCGACCCCCGUCCGCAUUCGAUACACCCGUACGACUACGCAGGGAACCCGGCUCACCGCGAAACGUCUGCCGAGCAGCGAAUAACCGCAAGGAUGCGCCAAGGACAUCGCCGAAUCGCGCGCAUUCGUGUAAACCUCGGCUGCACCUUAUGACCGCGCUGCAGAUUCUCGAAAUAUACAGGUACACGUGUACCUGUACCUGUACAUGUAAUAUACCGAGAAACUGUAAUGACUCAAUUACACCGCUGCACAUUUUUUAUAUAAUUAGCUUGGAAGACGACGCGUGAAAUAAAUAAUAAAUGUACACCCCGUAUAUAAAAAAUAUAUCGAAGAAUAUCGUACAUGUAUAUGUAGCAUAGAUCUGUGUAUAUAUUUCUAUCAUUUAUAUACCUACGGAGAUGAGAACGUAUAAGAGGAGCGUCGCGGUGUCGCGUCGUCGUCGUCGUCGUUUCGCCGAUGUGUAUAUAUAUGUAUAUACCGUGUAUACCGUACAGGGCGUAGAAGUAGGGCGAACUGAAGGGCCGCGGCAAAAGUAGGACGAAUUAUAGGGCGCGUUCGCGGCCUACUAGCCUUAAUUGACUCGACUGUAAUAAAAUGGCGCCCGUUUAAGUCGCGUGCGGACAAAUAUUAUAUUAUAACAAACAGCUCGAUCACCCUUACGGCGCUGUAAGCUCCAACGAACAAAUAUACGUCCGAAUGUUCGCAACCAUUCCUCCGUAAUAAUUCAUACGCACGAAAUUCGAUCGGUAUACGAUUUGAAGAGAAUGGAAGAGGAAGAAAAAAAAAAUCGUGCGCGCUUAUACAACGCCCAGCUGUACCUAUAACACUAAUCCAUAUCCUAUACGUCUUAUCCUCGUCCAUAUUUGGAUAAAAACCAUAACCUCGGAUACGCGAGGAUCGCGUAUGCCGUUGCAGCGCACUCAUACAUACGCGGUAGGUAUAUACCUACCUACCUUUUCGACUGAUCGUCGAAUACGAACGGGAUGCGCGGCGCGCUUUUACGGACCGUUGCGUCGGACGGAUAUAAAAAUAAGAAAACGACUGUGCAUAAUUCUCGUCCGAACUAUACGGCAAUGCAGGAAAGGAACCGCAUCGGAAGAUACAUAGUAGUAUACACGAACGUACGUAUAUACAUAUGUAUGUAUAUGUGUUGUAAAAAUUGCCGAUGGAACGACCCGCGCGGACCGCGUCGGCUUUUGCUGCCGCUGCUGCAGAGGAGAAUGUUAACGCACGCAUACACCUAUAUACAUAUACAUAUAUAUAUAUAUACAGGGGGGAGGGAGGAGAAAAACGACGCCUCGGUCGCGUCACAAGGUUAACUGCUGCCGCUGUGCCGCGAUGCUGCCGGUGGACCAAAAUUACACACACGCGGCGCGAUCUCGGGAUCGACGCCGGACGAACGCGUGCGUGUAUAUAACAGAGCGCGAUACGCGAUAUCUGAAACUCGACGCUUUCCGUCGAGUUGCGCCCGUUAAAAUUCUGCAAAGGAAAAUACCUCCGCUGUAUACCUGUAUCCGUGGGUGCGAUACACGUCUCGAUUUUUUCUAACGGGUCGACGGAUUAAUUCGGCCCACUACUGUCGGUUAUCUUCAAUCGUCCGAAGACCGGUAUUGACGAUCUUUGCAUUUAUCGCUAUAGAUUCGAUUGUAUUUACCUGUCGAGAAAACAUAACUACCCGCGUGUGUUCGAAAAUGCGAGGGAGCUGCAGGAUUUAGCGGGGGCAGGCAGAGUGGGAGGGGAAAAGGGAUGGUAGGGAUGAGAGACUUUGGAGAAUUUCCUCGGCGUAUAUAUGUAUAGGGGGGGAGGGAGGGAAGAGAAGGAAGAGGAGAAAGAUGGAAUAUGCGAAAAGGAGAAUGGUAUGAAAAAAAGAGAGAGGGUUAAUUCGUCGUUGCAAGCGGCGACAGCGGAAUCAUAGGCUAUAUACAUAUAUAUAUACGAACACACCAUAUGCCUGCAACUAUAUAUACACCGCCACCGGUUUACCUUGAUCCUUUGAAUAUUAUAACCGCACCGCAGUCGUUUUGUUCUUACGUAAGCGAUCCGCGCGGAGAAACUGCAGAUACGGUGCGAGCGAACGACUAUUAUAAUAUAUACACAAGCGAGAGAGUCGAGUCUCCGUUAUUGGCGCGCGUAUCCGUGUGUAUCCAGAGGUAUGACGAUACGACGACGGAGCGAGUGCGAUCGACGCCACCGUACACCCGAAUUAUAAUCCUAGACGAUGAUCGGGUAUUACGAGGAGCGACUGCGAGUAUAGAAGGACGAGGGGGAGAAUUUCGAGCGUCGCCGCGGCCAGACUCUCUUCUAGGAAGAGGAGAGCCGGAGCCAGAAAGAGCCGGCCGGCAGGUUUGUCUCGAGCAGACGAAGACGAUUAGGUCGAGGAUGACUCGAGGAUGGAUUAACGGUACUUUUAGUUUGAAGACGUUGGAUGUUUUAUCUUUUCGUUUUUUCAACGAAUAACAUUUGAGAAUUUCGCUGUAACUACAGGUGGAACGAAACAAAGAGCUUUUCCUCGCUGCGGAGAACUCUCAACUCAACAACGCUGGAAGCAAAAGGCACAGGCAAAAGCACCGGCAGAGGCAUAAGCAAGCGCAUCGCCAUUAGACGGGUAAUUUCCGAGAGAUUACUUCAACAACCCUGCAUUAAAAUUGUGCUGCGCGAAAGAGUAUACAAGCUUCCAGAGAUAAGAAGACUGUGUGCUGAGUAUAAAAUUAUACAUAUGGGCAUGUGGAAUAUAUUCAUGAAGAGACCAGGUUUGACGAAAGGGUUGCGUGAUACGUUUAUCCGUCGCAUUUUUCUCCACGAGAGAAAGUCCGUCGAUGAUCCUCCGACACGACACAAUUGUUGCCUGCUUUUACCUCAGACUCCAAAAACAUUUUUGCGACUUACUUUCACCACUUGAAAUUGACACGACCGCAAAUU